AAAGGAAUAGACGGGGGCCCGCACAAGCGGUGGAGCAUGUGGUUUAAUUCGACGCAACGCGAAGAACCUUACCAGGUCUUGACAUCCUCUGGCGACUCAAGAGAUUGGGUUUUCAUCCUUCGGGAAGACAGAGAGACAGGUGGUGCAUGGUUGUCGUCAGCUCGUGUCGUGAGAUGUUGGGUUAAGUCCCGCAACGAGCGCAACCCUUGUUCUUAGUUGCCAGCGAGUAAAGUCGGGCACUCUAAGGAGACUGCCGGUGACAAACCGGAGGAAGGUGGGGAUGACGUCAAAUCAUCAUGCCCCUUAUGACCUGGGCUACACACGUGCUACAAUGGCCUGUACAGAGGGUAGCGAAGCCGUGAGGCGGAGCCAAUCCCAAAAAGCAGGUCUCAGUUCGGAUUGCAGGCUGCAACUCGCCUGCAUGAAGUCGGAAUCGCUAGUAAUCGCGGGUCAGCAUACCGCGGUGAAUACGUUCCCGGGCCUUGUACACACCGCCCGU
RNAcentral lists this ribosomal RNA (499 nucleotides) under uncultured bacterium. RNAcentral describes it as "bacterial SSU rRNA". It matches the Rfam family "Bacterial small subunit ribosomal RNA", at positions 903 to 1397 of the family's 1533-position model. The record is from RNAcentral.